CGGGGCCUCACACGACAGCUUGGUCCACUAAUCGCAAAAGCAAUUUAUUUUAUUUUCUUAAACAAACAAAGAAAAAUAUAUAGAAAUUUGGUAAAUAUAUAACAUACAAAUAUGAAUUGAUUAAAAAUUAAGUUUGUUUUAUUCUUAAUAACUUCGCUGGCACAUGGCAUUAAAUUUCACGCGGGAAGUGGCCUAUUUGAGGCCUACUCGAUUAUUUAGUUAGCAUUUAGGCACAAAGACACAAAUGUAUAUCAUAGUCGGAUAAAUGUUGAAGUAAGAAGAUGAAGUUACCAAAAAAUAACGCUUUCUUCAGUUUCACUGUGGAAAGACCGCGAAGGUGUUUUUAAGGUCCCGCGUCACGGAGUGUGUCGGCACAGCGGUUAGACCGGACAACUGCUUUUUAAAAGCACUGAUAAGAGGCACCCUGAUGCUGAACAUUGCAAAUUGGAAGUGAAGAUUGCCUUCCUGUAGACUUUAUCUUAAAGCAGUAAAACAAGAAGCUGUGACUACAACUGCAGUGAAGUAUACACUGCGUGGUUUCUGUGGAUGGCCUGAGUGUCUUCAGCUGCGGCAGAAUCCUCUGAGGAACUGGCCUGACUCAUCUGCGUCUGUGACAGGUCAUGUCCAUGAGCAGGAGUGGAUAACCCAAAGCGCCCAAACCGGCUCACUAACACUCAAAUCCAUGUUUAAAGAUGCUGUCAGGAAAGGAAACGCAUGGAAAAGUUGCUACCAGGAUAGAUUAUCAGAUCUGACUCCAUUGCGUUUAUAGAGUGAGAAAAACAGAAGAGAAUGAGGUUUGCAUGGCCAAAAGGACGAGUCGGUAUCCAAUACUG
This 833-nucleotide long non-coding RNA is filed under the name Sinocyclocheilus grahami. RNAcentral's name for it is "lncRNA (ENSSGRG00000051626.1)". Lineage: Eukaryota; Metazoa; Chordata; Actinopteri; Cypriniformes; Cyprinidae. The record is from RNAcentral.